UACGUAGGGUGCAAGCGUUGUCCGGAAUUAUUGGGCGUAAAGAGCUCGUAGGCGGUCUGUCGCGUCGGCUGUGAAAUCCCGAGGCUCAACCUCGGGUCUGCAGUCGAUACGGGCAAACUAGAGUAUUGCAGGGGAGACUGGAAUUCCUGGUGUAGCGGUGAAAUGCGCAGAUAUCAGGAGGAACACCGGUGGCGAAGGCGAGUCCCUGGACAACUCCUGACACUAAGGCACGAAAGCUAGGGGAGCAAACAGG
RNAcentral lists this ribosomal RNA (253 nucleotides) under uncultured bacterium. RNAcentral describes it as "partial 16S ribosomal RNA". It matches the Rfam family "Bacterial small subunit ribosomal RNA", at positions 524 to 776 of the family's 1533-position model. The record is from RNAcentral.